UGAGCCAAGUUUAGGGUUUUUUCAAAACCCAAGCAGUAUUGAACUGAAGAGUUUGAUCAUGGCUCAGAUUGAACGCUGGCGGCAGGCCUAACACAUGCAAGUCGAGCGGAUGAAGGGAGCUUGCUCCUGGAUUCAGCGGCGGACGGGUGAGU
RNAcentral lists this ribosomal RNA (152 nucleotides) under Pseudomonas aeruginosa. Its description in RNAcentral is "partial 16S ribosomal RNA". The stretch from base 41 to 152 matches the Rfam family "Bacterial small subunit ribosomal RNA", at positions 1 to 111 of the family's 1533-position model. Lineage: Bacteria; Pseudomonadati; Pseudomonadota; Gammaproteobacteria; Pseudomonadales; Pseudomonadaceae. The record is from RNAcentral.